GAUGAACGCUAGCGGGAGGCCUAACACAUGCAAGCCGAGCGGUAGAGUCUCUUCGGGGACUUGAGAGCGGCGUACGGGUGCGGAACACGUGUGCAACCUGCCUUUAUCAGGGGGAUAGCCUUUCGAAAGGAAGAUUAAUACCCCAUAAUAUAUUGAGUGGCAUCACUUGAUAUUGAAAACUCCGGUGGAUAUAGAUGGGCACGCGCAAGAUUAGAUAGUUGGUGAGGUAACGGCUCACCAAGUCAGUGAUCUUUAGGGGGCCUGAGAGGGUGAUCCCCCACACUGGUACUGAGACACGGACCAGACUCCUACGGGAGGCAGCAGUGAGGAAUAUUGGACAAUGGGUGAGAGCCUGAUCCAGCCAUCCCGCGUGAAGGACGACUGCCCUAUGGGUUGUAAACUUCUUUUGUACAGGGAUAAACCCAGAUACGUGUAUCUGGCUGAAGGUACUGCACGAAUAAGCACCGGCUAACUCCGUG
Molecule: ribosomal RNA, 479 nt
Filed under: uncultured bacterium
Lineage: Bacteria
Description: partial 16S ribosomal RNA
Rfam family: Bacterial small subunit ribosomal RNA
Source: RNAcentral